UUACGGGAGGCAGCAGUGGGGAAUAUUGCACAAUGGGCGAAAGCCUGAUGCAGCGACGCCGCGUGAGGGAUGACGGCCUUCGGGUUGUAAACCUCUUUCGACAGGGACGAAGCGAGAGUGACGGUACCUGUAUAAGAAGCACCGGCCAACUACGUGCCAGCAGCCGCGGUAAUACGUAGGGUGCGAGCGUUGUCCGGAAUUACUGGGCGUAAAGAGCUUGUAGGCGGUUCGUCGCGUCGAUCGUGAAAACUUGCAGCUCAACUGCGAGCUUGCGGUCGAUACGGGCGGACUAGAGUACUUCAGGGGAGACUGGAAUUCCUGGUGUAGCGGUGAAAUGCGCAGAUAUCAGGAGGAACACCGGUGGCGAAGGCGGGUCUCUGGGAAGUAACUGACGCUGAGAAGCGAAAGCGUGGGUAGCGAACAGGCUUAGAUACCCUGGUAGA
This 443-nucleotide ribosomal RNA is filed under the name uncultured bacterium. RNAcentral's name for it is "bacterial SSU rRNA". It matches the Rfam family "Bacterial small subunit ribosomal RNA", at positions 339 to 794 of the family's 1533-position model. The record is from RNAcentral.